RNAcentral lists this ribosomal RNA (460 nucleotides) under uncultured bacterium. RNAcentral describes it as "partial 16S ribosomal RNA". It matches the Rfam family "Bacterial small subunit ribosomal RNA", at positions 338 to 795 of the family's 1533-position model. The record is from RNAcentral.
CCUACGGGAGGCAGCAGUGAGGAAUAUUGGUCAAUGGACGAGAGUCUGAACCAGCCAAGUAGCGUGAAGGAUGACUGCCCUAUGGGUUGUAAACUUCUUUUAUAUGGGAAUAAAACGUUCCACGUGUGGGAUUUUGUAUGUACCAUAUGAAUAAGGAUCGGCUAACUCCGUGCCAGCAGCCGCGGUAAUACGGAGGAUCCGAGCGUUAUCCGGAUUUAUUGGGUUUAAAGGGAGCGUAGGUGGAUUGUUAAGUCAGGUGUGAAAGUUUGCGGCUCAACCGUAAAAUUGCAGUUGAAACUGGCAGUCUUGAGUACAGUAGAGGUGGGCGGAAUUCGUGGUGUAGCGGUGAAAUGCUUAGAUAUCACGAAGAACUCCGAUUGCGAAGGCAGUUCACUGGACUGCAACUGACACUGAGGCUCGAAAGUGUGGGUAUCAAACAGGAUUAGAUACCCGUGUAGUC